Long non-coding RNA from Mauremys reevesii (Reeves's turtle), 1425 nucleotides. RefSeq lists it as uncharacterized. The record is from RefSeq and is a predicted model, not a curated record. NCBI's taxonomy places the organism in Eukaryota, Metazoa, Chordata, Testudines, Geoemydidae. The transcript has 3 exons.
UAGUUAGCACUAAACGGGUUUUCCUUAUACAAUCAGUACAGUUAAGAGAGACUGCUCUAAAUUUAAAUCAUUGCAUUAAACUUUCCUGAUAUUGACAUGUCAUUGUGCUGUGUAAGCAAAAUAUUGUUAUAAACUUUUGUAGAGGGUAUCUAACUUUAGAAAGACCAAAAAUAGUUUUGGCUAAUGUAGUCUGAAGUGCAAAAGAAAUAGUGCGGAUUUAUGACAAUUUGAUGUAAUAGAUUACCAAAUAGACAAAAUUGGUAAUUUCAUUAUUUAUACAGUGCCUUAGGUGUUCCAUGGGGCUUUAUAAACCAGUAAAAUAACAGGCCCUCCCCUGAGGGGAUUAUAGUCCAAGGCCUCAGUUUUUCAAUCUGAUUUGCUUCUGUGGACUGUUAGUCUGCAUGGACCCUAACUGAAUGCAGUUGGACUCUGUGUAAGCCCACGUGUCUGUGUUUGUAGAUCAGUUUCCAGGAUCAGUGCCUUAAUUUGAUUGAUCAAUUUUAUAUGGAGUGAAAUCCUGGGCCCAGUAAACUCAAUGAGAGUUUUGCCAUUAAUUUCAGUGGGUCCAGGAUUUCACUUAUAGUUUUUCAAAUUUAAAUGCCUAAAAUUAAGCCAUAUCAAUAUUUAAACAUCUGAAAAGGGUACUGAUUUUUAGGCAUCCAGGUUUGAAUCUGGACCAACAGUUAAUGGUCUCGUUGAUUAUGUAACCUCUUGAAAAUUCAGAGUACCUAAAGUAUUACAUUUUUAUUCUUAUCUGUUCUAUGUCUUAAAGAAAAAAAUUGGACUCUUCCCACUAUGCCAUACUAAUUAAUUCAACCAUGGAUAUAGUAAAUGAAAUGAUUGAUUAUAUGGGAUCAAAAGAAGUUUUAUUUUUAAAUACAGAAUUAAACACAUUGAACCAAAUACACUGAUGAUGUAAAGCAAUUAUGAUGUCUCUGAUUUUAGUUAACUGUGCCCAUAGGUCCUGGCGGUGAACUUGGCCCUUGGUUCAUAGUAAUUUGCACUACUUAUUCCGUUUUUCAUAAAUAAAUUCUUUUUUCUUUAUACAGUGUUUUUGUUACUAAAAAAUGUAGUUGCAUGAAGAUGCAGAGACUACAACUAUGACUGCAGAUAGGCAAAUAUAAAGACACCUGAUAUAAACAGCUGAAUCAUGUUCUGUGCACAGUAUGUCCUACAUCCAUAGAAAUGAUUGCUUCUAACUAUGGCAUUCAUGGAAUCUUGAAGAGGGGAAGCAGGUGAUCACAGUGUCCUCAUAUGAGUGAAAAGCUACGUAAUUCGAAUUGACUUGAUUUUUUCAAGUAAUCCUAGAAAGGGGGAGCAUUCCAUAUAGAAACUGCUGAAACUGCCACAGGUGCUUCUCCGAAAACCUUACAGUUGUGGCAUUGAAUGUUCAGUAUCGCUUCCUUUCUGCACACAAGGCAUACU